This 73-nucleotide transfer RNA is filed under the name Loxodonta africana (African savanna elephant). It matches the Rfam family "tRNA". Rfam says of the family: Transfer RNA (tRNA) molecules are approximately 80 nucleotides in length. Lineage: Eukaryota; Metazoa; Chordata; Mammalia; Proboscidea; Elephantidae. The record is from Rfam by way of RNAcentral.
CCCUCAAUAGUGGAAUGGUUAACAUGCUUGGCUGCUAACUGAAAGGUUGGAAGCUCAAAUCUACCCAGAGGGG